UAUUGAAAUAAACCUGAUGAGUUGCUGCUGGUUUUUUUAACAUGUGCACACUUGUCAUCUUUAUAUCUCCACCUGUGCAUCUUUUGUAGACCUGGACAAGUUUCUUAAUGCUACUUAGCAUUGAGGUUUUGGGAUUGACUUUUGUCUUUCCUUACAUUUCUAGGUCUAUGUUUAUUCAUAUACCCUAUUGUAUGUUAUAGAAUGUAAUAAUUAGGCCUUUGUGCCUAUAACACUAUACAACUUUCAGCAACGGAUCUCUUGGCUCUCGCAUCGAUGAAGAACGCAGCGAAUUGCGAUAAGUAAUGUGAAUUGCAGAUUUUCAGUGAAUCAUCGAAUCUUUGAACGCACCUUGCGCUCCUUGGUAUUCCAGGGAGCAUGCCUGUUUGAGUGUCAUUGAAUUAUCAACCUUGCUUUGAUUAAUAUUUUAAAGCAUGGCUUGGAGUUUGGGAGUUUGCUGGUAUUAAAUAUAUAUAUAUUUUUGUCAGCUCUCCUAAAAUACAUUAGCAAUGGAUAGUGCAACUUUGAUGUGCACGGUCUUUGACGUGAUAAUGAUCGUCGUGGCUGGAACACGUCUAGAAGGAUGUACUAUCCAUGCUUCUAACUUUCUAGAUCCUAGCCUUUUUCGGGUUUUUCCUGGGCUUAUUAGUCGGUUGUAAGACUGAUGAACACCUGGGCAAAAAUCCUUUUGAUAUUAGGUUAGAUCAAGUUGUUUUUGAAACUUG
RNAcentral lists this unclassified non-coding RNA (722 nucleotides) under Cortinarius sp. 5 CG-2012. RNAcentral's name for it is "sequence contains ITS1, 5.8S rRNA gene, ITS2". The stretch from base 239 to 393 matches the Rfam family "5.8S ribosomal RNA". Lineage: Eukaryota; Fungi; Basidiomycota; Agaricomycetes; Agaricales; Cortinariaceae. The record is from RNAcentral.